This 986-nucleotide ribosomal RNA is filed under the name bacterium MAD11. RNAcentral describes it as "bacterial SSU rRNA". It matches the Rfam family "Bacterial small subunit ribosomal RNA", at positions 485 to 1533 of the family's 1533-position model. The record is from RNAcentral.
GAAAAGCCCCGGCUUACUACGUGCCAGCAGCCCGCGGUAAUACAUAGGUGGCAAGCGUUGUCCGAAAUUAUUGGGCGUAAAGGGCUCGCAGGCGGUUUCUUAAGUCUGAUGUGAAAGCCCCCGGCUCAACCGGGGAGGGUCAUUGGAAACUGGGGAACUUGAGUGCAGAAGAGGAGAGUGGAAUUCCACGUGUAGCGGUGAAAUGCGUAGAGAUGUGGAGGAACACCAGUGGCGAAGGCGACUCUCUGGUCUGUAACUGACGCUGAGGAGCGAAAGCGUGGGGAGCGAACAGGAUUAGAUACCCUGGUAGUCCACGCCGUAAACGAUGAGUGAUAAGUGUUAGGGGGUUUCCGCCCCUUAGUGCUGCAGCUAACGCAUUAAGCACUCCGCCUGGGGAGUACGGUCGCAAGACUGAAACUCAAAGGAAUUGACGGGGGCCCGCACAAGCGGUGGAGCAUGUGGUUUAAUUCGAAGCAACGCGAAGAACCUUACCAGGUCUUGACAUCCUAUGACAAUCCUAGAGAUAGGACGUCCCCUUCGGGGGCAGAGUGACAGGUGGUGCACGGUUGUGUUCAGCUCGUGUCGUGAGAUGUUGGGUUAAGUCCCGCAACGAGCGCACCCCUUGAUUUUAGUGGCCAGCCUUCAAUUGGGCCAUUUAAGGGGGCUGCCGGGGGCCAACCGGAGGAAGGGGGGGGAGGAGUCAAAUUCUCCUGCCCCUUUAGACGUGGGGUACCCCCGGUCAUCAAAGGACAGAACAAAGGGCAUGGAAACCCGGAGGGUAAACCAAUCCCACAAAUCCUUUUCAGUUCGGAUCGCAGUUUGCAAAUUGACUGCGGGAAAGUGGAAUUGGUAGUAAUUCGGGAUCAGCCAGCCGCGGGGAAAUAGUUUCCGGGCCUUUGUACACCCCCCCCGCCCCCCCAGGGAGUGGUCCACCCAAAAGUAGGUAGCGUAACCGCUAGGACCCGCGCAAUUCCCGGACACCCUCC